This 292-nucleotide ribosomal RNA is filed under the name uncultured bacterium. RNAcentral describes it as "partial 16S ribosomal RNA". It matches the Rfam family "Bacterial small subunit ribosomal RNA", at positions 505 to 796 of the family's 1533-position model. The record is from RNAcentral.
GUGUCAGCCGCCGCGGUAAUACGGGGGGGGCAAGCGUUGUUCGGAAUUACUGGGCGUAAAGGGCUCGUAGGCGGCCAACUAAGUCGGAUGUGAAAUCCCCAGGCUUAACCUGGGAACUGCAUCCGAUACUGGAUGGCUUGAAUCCGGGAGAGGGAUGCAGAAUUCCAGGUGUAGCGGUGAAAUGCGUAGAUAUCUGGAGGAAUACCGGUGGCGAAGGCGGCAUCCUGGACCGGCAUUGACGCUGAUGAGCGAAAGCUAGGGGAGCAAACGGGAUUAGAUACCCCUGUAGUCC